This 465-nucleotide ribosomal RNA is filed under the name uncultured bacterium. RNAcentral describes it as "partial 16S ribosomal RNA". It matches the Rfam family "Bacterial small subunit ribosomal RNA", at positions 338 to 795 of the family's 1533-position model. The record is from RNAcentral.
CCUACGGGAGGCAGCAGUGGGGAAUAUUGCGCAAUGGGCGCAAGCCUGACGCAGCGACGCCGCGUGCGGGAUGAAGGUCUUCGGAUCUUAAACCUCUGUCAGCAGGGAAGUACGGUCACUGUGCUAAUCAGCAUUGAAUUUACGGUACCUGCAAAGGACGCACCGGCUAAUUCCGUGCCAGCAGCUGCUGUAAGACGGAGGAUGCGAGCGUUAAUCGGAAUUAUUGGGCGUAAAGGGCUCGUAGGCGGUAUGUCAAGUCAAGGGUGAAAUCCCCGGGCUCAACGGGGGAACUGCCUGUGAAACUGGCAAACUGGAGAGUGUGAGAGGAUAGUGGAAUUCAAGGUGUAGGAGUGAAAUCCGUAGAGAUCUGGAGGAACAUCAGUGGCGAAGGCGACUAUCUGACACAUAACUGACGCUGAGGAGCGAAAGCGUGGGUAGCAAACAGGAUUAGAUACCCUUGUAGUC